Long non-coding RNA from Monomorium pharaonis (pharaoh ant), 1114 nucleotides. RefSeq lists it as uncharacterized. Lineage: Eukaryota; Metazoa; Arthropoda; Insecta; Hymenoptera; Formicidae. The transcript is spliced from 3 exons. The record is from RefSeq and is a predicted model, not a curated record.
AUAGUUGUCCAACUGUCGGAUUUGUACUCUCUGCGUUUCAAUGUCAGCCGCAGAUUUGUGUUACCAUAUCCAGCGAAGCUAAAUUGGUAGAUGCCUUCACAAUACAUGUAACAUGAAAAAGAUCAAAGAGUCUUUCGAAAAUACGCAGAUAGGCUUUGGCGCAACGUCUUACAAGAUACGCUCCAAAAGAUGUUACAACAUGAGAUGUCAUCUGAUGAUUCUCAUGUACUCUUCAUACCACAAUGACUUAAAUAACAAUGACUUAAUAAAACGGAUGAUUUAGCAAAUCGCCGGCUUGGUUUGACGGAAAAUUACGAUUCAAUUCUGAAGAUUUUCUAAAACAUCACGGAGGAAUCAAUUGUUUAUUCCAAAGUCUUUAUAUGGAGAAUGUAAUCUAUGGUUGAAUUGACCUAUGAUUUGUCACGAGAAAAUCAACGUUAUAAUUUUGCAAGAAGUGAAACGCAAGUAAAGCAAUAAAACUUGGUUAACGAUCUGGCUAACAAUGUUAGGAAAAACCCAUACUUUAUGUCGAUUUUAUGUUAGCUGGACGUUCUGCUGAAUCCUUCGGCCUUCGUCGGUAGAGUGCUGCAACAAAUUAUCGAGUUUUUUGAAGAAGAAAUGUAUUCUUUAGAGAUAUAUCAUGUUUUUCUCCAAAAAAGUCUAUAUGUCAGGAUGGCAUUCAGGAUUAGGAAUGUAAUUGACUUUUAAUUAGAAUUUAAUAAAAAAAUGUUGUUACAAAAUAUGCGUACAACUUUAUUCAUUGCGUUAACGUUUGUUAUAUUGACAAAUUUAAUAAUGUUACAGAAAAAUAAAUCGCACUGUUCGUUGUAGAUGCGCGCGCGCAUGUUUUUCGUUGUUGUCUAGUCAAUCGGUACUUCUCCCGCUUCUGUGCCGCAAUCUCUCUCCUUUUUUUUCAUUUCCUGCCAAUUUUACAAAUCUUCUCUCUGAUAUAACUGCUGUGAUAGCAGGCGAUUAAGACAUUUAUAUAUCAAUAAAAAUAGAAAAAUUGAGAUGUAGUUGAUAGAUAGAUACAAAGAAAUAAUAGAUAAGUUAAUAAAUAGGUAUUAAAAUCAAAAAGAGAGUAUAGAGCAAGCAAUAUGGACUAGAUUAAAAA